Molecule: long non-coding RNA, 2630 nt
Organism: Salvelinus fontinalis (brook trout)
Lineage: Eukaryota; Metazoa; Chordata; Actinopteri; Salmoniformes; Salmonidae
Exons: 2
Source: RefSeq, a predicted model, not a curated record
GUUGGAACAGUUGUUAGGUGAUGUCUCUCUAUCUGUGGUUUACGACGUUGGGACAACGGCACUCUGAAGCAGUAGCAGGACAUGACGCCUCUGUCAGGUGAGGAGCACAGAGGAGAGGAUGUUCUGUAGAACAGGAGAGGAGAGGAGAAGAGAGGAGAGGGGUGUUCUGUAGGACAGGAGAGGAGAUGAGAGGAGAGGGGUGUUUUGUAGGACAGGAGAGGAGAUGAGAGGAGAGGAGAGGGGUGUUCUGUAGGACAGGAGAGGAGAAGAGAGGACAGCAGAGGGGUGUUCUGGAGGAGAGGAGAGGAGCGGGGUGUUCUGUAGGACAGAAGAGGAGAAGAGAUGAGAUGAGAGGAGAGGGGUAUUCUGUAGGACAGGAGAGGAGAAGAGAUGAGCGGGGUGUUCUGUAGGACAGGAGAGGAGAAGAGAGGAGCGGGGUGUUCUGUAGGACAGAAGAGGAGAAGAGAUGAGAUGAGAGGAGAGGGGUAUUCUGUAGGACAGGAGAGGAGAAGAGAUGAGCGGGGUGUUCUGUAGGACAGGAGAGGAGAAGAGAUGAGAGGAGAGGAGAAGAGAGGAGCGGGGUGUUCUGUAGGACAGGAGAGGAGAAGAGAGGAGCGGGGUGUUCUGUAGGACAGGAGAGGAGAAGAGAGGAGAGGGGUGUUCUGUAGGACAGGAGAGGAGAAGAGAGGAGAGGAGAGGAGAAGAGAGGAGCGGGGUGUUCUGUAGGACAGGAGAGGAGAAGAGAGGAGAAGGGUGUUCUCUAGGACAGGAGAGGAGAAGAGAUGAGAGGAGAGGAGAAGAGAGGAGCGGGGUGUUCUGUAGGACAGGAGAGGAGAAGAGAGGAGCGGGGUGUUCUGUAGGACAGGAGAGGAGAGGAGAAGAGAGGAGAGGAGAAGAGAGGAGCGGGGCGUUCUGUAGGACAGGAGAGGAGAAGAGAGGAGAAGAUGUUCUGUAGGACAGGAGAGGAGAGGAGAAGAGAGGAGAGGAGAAGAGAGGAGCGGGGCGUUCUCUAGGAAAGGAGAGGGGUGUUCUGGGGGAAAACCAGUGUGUAAUCUGGCUUGCCUGAAGGCAUGCUUCUGUUUCCAUGAGGCUGAGAUUUGUGUCUUUGAUCUACAGGGGAGUGGCAGGACAGCGAGGACCAUGUCAGUUCCUGUUGGUUUGUCAUUGUCCUUUUAGAUUCUUGAAGGUUCUUAGAAUUCAUUCUAGGUUCUAAGAAUUUGUUGCAGAGAAGAGAUGAGGUAGGAUUUAAGGUAGAAUUUUAAGCAUAGUGUUUUCAGUGGAGCCUGCUCUGCAUAGACUCAGUCUAGAAAAGUGGAGUGACUGCCAGCAUGGCCUUCUUCCUAAGACCAGCCUGUGUGUGCCGGUACUUUGACACAAACACACACACUACGAGUGGAGACGAGGACGAUUCUCGGAUGUGGACGAGACAGUGAAUCGCAGAAAAGGUAAGGGAAAAGAGGACGUUUCUGAACUCAGACAUCAUCACAACUCCAACAGCCGCUUUCUCUACCUUCUCUUCGUUUUAUUAUCUUUCGUCCUUUUUCUCCACCAUCUCUUUCUCCCUACUCUCUCCUCCUCCUCCUCCCCACUCUCACCCAUCUCUUCUCUUUUCCCCCUCUCUUUCCCUCCUUCCCUCUCUUUCUCUCGUUUUCCCUCUCGUCCUAAAGCAGCACACCUUGCUGUGGCUGGUCAAACGGAACCAAGUCAGGUGUUUCAGUGAGGUUUGGUCCCCUUCAACCAGCUACUGCGUCGUGAACUCAGUCAGCAGACAGACAGACACCCGCAGCGGGAACGAAAGACAGAGUAGCCCUACUGCUGCAUGUUUUGUAUCUACACACGUCAGGUGUUAAUGUGUUUUGUAUCUACACACGUCAGGUGUUAAUGUGUUUUGUGUCUACACACGUCAGGUGUUAAUGUGUUUUGUAUCUACACACGUCAGGUGUUAAUGUGUUUUGUGUCUACACACGUCAGGUGUUAAUGUGUUUUGUAUCUACACACGUCAGGUGUUAAUGUGUUUUGUAUCUACACACGUCAGGUGUUAAUGUGUUUUGUAUCUACACACGUCAGGUGUUAAUGUGUUUUGUAUCUACACACGUCAGGUGUUAAUGUGUUUUGUAUCUACACACGUCAGGUGUUAAUGUGUUUUGUGUCUACAUAAAUCAAGUGUUAAAGUGUUUUUGUGUCUACAUAAGCCAGGUGUUAAUGUGCUUUGUGUCUACAUAAAUCAGGUGUUAAUGUGUUUUGUGUCUACAUAAAUCAGGUGUUAAAGUGUUUUGUGUCUACAUAAAUCAGGUGUUAAAGUGUUUUGUGUCUACAUAAAUCAGGUGUUAAUGUGUUUUGUGUCUACAUAAAUCAGGUGUUAAAGUGUUUUGUGUCUACAUAAAUCAGGUGUUAAUGUGUUUUUGUGUCUACAUAAAUCAGGUGUUAAUGUGUUUUUGUGUCUACAUAAAGUCAGAUGUUAAUGAACAACAUUUUGUAAUCUAUGGAUUCCUUUUCCUUUUCAUACUGUAUGUUUCGGUCUUGUUUAUUGUUAUGCUUGAAAAAGAAAGAAUUAAAGAUGUGAUUGUGCUUUUAUCUCUGAUGUUUGGGAUUAAGUUGUUGUGUUGUGACAAUAAAAUCUGGAAAUAUGA